GACGAACGCUGGCGGCGUGCCUAACACAUGCAAGUCGAGCGGGGACAUUGGUUUCGGCUGAUGUUCUAGCGGCGGACGGGUGAGUAACGCGUGAGCAACCUUUCUCUUACUGGGGAAUAACACAGGGAAACUUGUACUAAUACCGCAUGAGACCACAGAAGGGCAUCCUUCAGGGGUCAAAGAUUUAUUGGUAAGAGGUGGGCUCGCGUCUGAUUAGAUAGUUGGUGGGGUAACGGCCUACCAAGUCGACGAUCAGUAGCCGACCUGAGAGGGUGAUCGGCCACAUUGGGACUGAGACACGGCCCAA
Molecule: ribosomal RNA, 307 nt
Filed under: uncultured bacterium
Lineage: Bacteria
Description: bacterial SSU rRNA
Rfam family: Bacterial small subunit ribosomal RNA
Source: RNAcentral